This 22-nucleotide unclassified non-coding RNA is filed under the name Nippostrongylus brasiliensis. RNAcentral describes it as "SL1-like trans-spliced leader sequence variant SL1a". The record is from RNAcentral. Lineage: Eukaryota; Metazoa; Nematoda; Chromadorea; Rhabditida; Heligmosomidae.
GGUUUAAUAACCCAAGUUUGAG